GGAGGAAAAGAAACUAACAAGGAUUCCCCUAGUAACUGCGAGUGAAGCGGGAAAAGCUCAAAUUUAAAAUCUGGUAGUCUUUGGCUGCCCGAGUUGUAAUCUAGAGAAGCAUUAUCCGCGCUGGACCGUGUACAAGUGUCCUGGAAUGGACUAUCAUAGAGGGUGAGAAUCCCGUCUUUGACACGGACUCCCAGGGCUUUGUGAUGUGCUCUCAAAGAGUCGAGUUGUUUGGGAAUGCAGCUCUAAAUGGGUGGUAAAUUCCAUCUAAAGCUAAAUAUUGGCGAGAGACCGAUAGCGAACAAGUACCGUGAGGGAAAGAUGAAAAGAACUUUGGAAAGAGAGUUAAACAGUACGUGAAAUUGCUGAAAGGGAAACGCUUGAAGUCAGUCGCGUUGGCUGGGGAUCAACCUUGCUUCUUGCUUGGCUUACUUCCCAGUUGACGGGUCAGCAUCAGUUUUGACCAGUGGAUAAAGGUUAAGGGAAUGUGGCACCUCCGGGUGUGUUAUAGCCCUUGGUCAUAUACAUUGGUUGGGACUGA
RNAcentral lists this ribosomal RNA (538 nucleotides) under Termitomyces mammiformis. Its description in RNAcentral is "eukaryotic LSU rRNA". It matches the Rfam family "Eukaryotic large subunit ribosomal RNA", at positions 52 to 589 of the family's 3401-position model. The record is from RNAcentral. Lineage: Eukaryota; Fungi; Basidiomycota; Agaricomycetes; Agaricales; Lyophyllaceae. RNAcentral also lists the same sequence under 1 other name.